Molecule: unclassified non-coding RNA, 334 nt
Filed under: Hevea brasiliensis (rubber tree)
Lineage: Eukaryota; Viridiplantae; Streptophyta; Magnoliopsida; Malpighiales; Euphorbiaceae
Source: RNAcentral
UGGUUUGCACAUUUAUUUUUGGGUACCUUCCGUUGUCCAGUUUUUUGCUUUUUACCUUAGUACCUGUUCCUUUAAUUGAAGAUGACUAAUGGAAAGAAGGAAGCUUCUGAAACAAAGGCUAGAUUUGUUGGUGAUAAUCCUUCUCUACAAAUUAGUCCUGUAAAAUUGAGUGGAACUAAUUAUUUGGCAUAGUCUAGAUCCUGUCCACUUUUCAUUUAGGCUAGAAGACUGUAGGGGUAUAUCAUUGGAGAUAAGAAAAAGCCAGGAAGGGUUAGUUCUACCUAUAGCCAGUGGGAGUUGGAGAACUCUUUUGUUAUGUCAUGGCUCAUCAAUU